This 406-nucleotide ribosomal RNA is filed under the name Exogryllacris ornata. RNAcentral describes it as "partial 12S ribosomal RNA". It matches the Rfam family "Microsporidia small subunit ribosomal RNA", at positions 755 to 1305 of the family's 1311-position model. Lineage: Eukaryota; Metazoa; Arthropoda; Insecta; Orthoptera; Anostostomatidae. The record is from RNAcentral.
UAGUUAUGUUCUUGAAACCCAGAGAAUUUGGCGGUGUUUUAGUCUAUUCAGAGGAAUCUGUCCCGUAAUCGAUAAUUCACGAGUGUAUUUUACUUAAUUUUGUAAUUUCAAUUUGUAUACCUCCGUCAUCAGAUUAUCUUUUUAGGGUUAAAAAUUUUCAGAAAAUUGUAUUAAAUUGUAUGUCAGGUCAAGGUGCAGUUUAUAAUUAAGUGGGAGAUGGAUUACAAUAAAAUUAUUUAUAUGGAUAUUAAAUAAAAUAAUUUAAUUGAAGGUGGAUUUGAUAGUAAAUUUAUAACUAAUAAGUUGAUUAAAGCUCUAAAACAUGUACACAUCGCCCGUCGCUCUCAUUAUUAAGGUGAGAUAAGUCGUAACAUAGUAGAUGUACUGGAAAGUGUAUCUAGAAAGU